Molecule: ribosomal RNA, 2872 nt
Filed under: Escherichia coli
Lineage: Bacteria; Pseudomonadati; Pseudomonadota; Gammaproteobacteria; Enterobacterales; Enterobacteriaceae
Description: bacterial LSU rRNA
Rfam family: Bacterial large subunit ribosomal RNA
Source: RNAcentral
GGCAGUCAGAGGCGAUGAAGGACGUGCUAAUCUGCGAUAAGCGUCGGUAAGGUGAUAUGAACCGUUAUAACCGGCGAUUUCCGAAUGGGGAAACCCAGUGUGAUUCGUCACACUAUCAUUAACUGAAUCCAUAGGUUAAUGAGGCGAACCGGGGGAACUGAAACAUCUAAGUACCCCGAGGAAAAGAAAUCAACCGAGAUUCCCCCAGUAGCGGCGAGCGAACGGGGAGGAGCCCAGAGCCUGAAUCAGUGUGUGUGUUAGUGGAAGCGUCUGGAAAGGCGCGCGAUACAGGGUGACAGCCCCGUACACAAAAAUACACAUGCUGUGAGCUCGAUGAGUAGGGCGGGACACGUGGUAUCCUGUCUGAAUAUGGGGGGACCAUCCUCCAAGGCUAAAUACUCCUGACUGACCGAUAGUGAACCAGUACCGUGAGGGAAAGGCGAAAAGAACCCCGGCGAGGGGAGUGAAAAAGAACCUGAAACCGUGUACGUACAAGCAGUGGGAGCACAGAGCAAUCUGUGUGACUGCGUACCUUUUGUAUAAUGGGUCAGCGACUUAUAUUCUGUAGCAAGGUUAACCGAAUAGGGGAGCCGAAGGGAAACCGAGUCUUAACUGGGCGUUAAGUUGCAGGGUAUAGACCCGAAACCCGGUGAUCUAGCCAUGGGCAGGUUGAAGGUUGGGUAACACUAACUGGAGGACCGAACCGACUAAUGUUGAAAAAUUAGCGGAUGACUUGUGGCUGGGGGUGAAAGGCCAAUCAAACCGGGAGAUAGCUGGUUCUCCCCGAAAGCUAUUUAGGUAGCGCCUCGUGAAUUCAUCUCCGGGGGUAGAGCACUGUUUCGGCAAGGGGGUCAUCCCGACUUACCAACCCGAUGCAAACUGCGAAUACCGGAGAAUGUUAUCACGGGAGACACACGGCGGGUGCUAACGUCCGUCGUGAAGAGGGAAACAACCCAGACCGCCAGCUAAGGUCCCAAAGUCAUGGUUAAGUGGGAAACGAUGUGGGAAGGCCCAGACAGCCAGGAUGUUGGCUUAGAAGCAGCCAUCAUUUAAAGAAAGCGUAAUAGCUCACUGGUCGAGUCGGCCUGCGCGGAAGAUGUAACGGGGCUAAACCAUGCACCGAAGCUGCGGCAGCGACGCUUAUGCGUUGUUGGGUAGGGGAGCGUUCUGUAAGCCUGCGAAGGUGUGCUGUGAGGCAUGCUGGAGGUAUCAGAAGUGCGAAUGCUGACAUAAGUAACGAUAAAGCGGGUGAAAAGCCCGCUCGCCGGAAGACCAAGGGUUCCUGUCCAACGUUAAUCGGGGCAGGGUGAGUCGACCCCUAAGGCGAGGCCGAAAGGCGUAGUCGAUGGGAAACAGGUUAAUAUUCCUGUACUUGGUGUUACUGCGAAGGGGGGACGGAGAAGGCUAUGUUGGCCGGGCGACGGUUGUCCCGGUUUAAGCGUGUAGGCUGGUUUUCCAGGCAAAUCCGGAAAAUCAAGGCUGAGGCGUGAUGACGAGGCACUACGGUGCUGAAGCAACAAAUGCCCUGCUUCCAGGAAAAGCCUCUAAGCAUCAGGUAACAUCAAAUCGUACCCCAAACCGACACAGGUGGUCAGGUAGAGAAUACCAAGGCGCUUGAGAGAACUCGGGUGAAGGAACUAGGCAAAAUGGUGCCGUAACUUCGGGAGAAGGCACGCUGAUAUGUAGGUGAAGCGACUUGCUCGUGGAGCUGAAAUCAGUCGAAGAUACCAGCUGGCUGCAACUGUUUAUUAAAAACACAGCACUGUGCAAACACGAAAGUGGACGUAUACGGUGUGACGCCUGCCCGGUGCCGGAAGGUUAAUUGAUGGGGUCAGCGCAAGCGAAGCUCUUGAUCGAAGCCCCGGUAAACGGCGGCCGUAACUAUAACGGUCCUAAGGUAGCGAAAUUCCUUGUCGGGUAAGUUCCGACCUGCACGAAUGGCGUAAUGAUGGCCAGGCUGUCUCCACCCGAGACUCAGUGAAAUUGAACUCGCUGUGAAGAUGCAGUGUACCCGCGGCAAGACGGAAAGACCCCGUGAACCUUUACUAUAGCUUGACACUGAACAUUGAGCCUUGAUGUGUAGGAUAGGUGGGAGGCUUUGAAGUGUGGACGCCAGUCUGCAUGGAGCCGACCUUGAAAUACCACCCUUUAAUGUUUGAUGUUCUAACGUGGACCCGUAAUCCGGGUUGCGGACAGUGUCUGGUGGGUAGUUUGACUGGGGCGGUCUCCUCCUAAAGAGUAACGGAGGAGCACGAAGGUUGGCUAAUCCUGGUCGGACAUCAGGAGGUUAGUGCAAUGGCAUAAGCCAGCUUGACUGCGAGCGUGACGGCGCGAGCAGGUGCGAAAGCAGGUCAUAGUGAUCCGGUGGUUCUGAAUGGAAGGGCCAUCGCUCAACGGAUAAAAGGUACUCCGGGGAUAACAGGCUGAUACCGCCCAAGAGUUCAUAUCGACGGCGGUGUUUGGCACCUCGAUGUCGGCUCAUCACAUCCUGGGGCUGAAGUAGGUCCCAAGGGUAUGGCUGUUCGCCAUUUAAAGUGGUACGCGAGCUGGGUUUAGAACGUCGUGAGACAGUUCGGUCCCUAUCUGCCGUGGGCGCUGGAGAACUGAGGGGGGCUGCUCCUAGUACGAGAGGACCGGAGUGGACGCAUCACUGGUGUUCGGGUUGUCAUGCCAAUGGCACUGCCCGGUAGCUAAAUGCGGAAGAGAUAAGUGCUGAAAGCAUCUAAGCACGAAACUUGCCCCGAGAUGAGUUCUCCCUGACUCCUUGAGAGUCCUGAAGGAACGUUGAAGACGACGACGUUGAUAGGCCGGGUGUGUAAGCGCAGCGAUGCGUUGAGCUAACCGGUACUAAUGAACCGUGAGGCUUAACCUU